Marmota marmota marmota (Alpine marmot) is the source of this 273-nucleotide unclassified non-coding RNA. Its record names the gene 7SK. It matches the Rfam family "7SK RNA". From Rfam's summary of the family: 7SK was discovered as an abundant small nuclear RNA in the mid-70s but a possible function has only recently been suggested. Two independent studies have found that 7SK RNA binds the CDK9/cyclin T complex (known as elongation factor P-TEFb). The record is from Ensembl. Lineage: Eukaryota; Metazoa; Chordata; Mammalia; Rodentia; Sciuridae.
GAAUGUGAGAAUGAUCUACCUGUGACAUCUGUCACCCCACUGACUACCAGGAUUGAUUCGGCUGACCGCUCCAUGUACAUCCCUCUGAAUGCUGGGCACUUGGUAAAAGAGGACCAACCUUCUCGGAUAAAAGAAGAUGGUUCUUUAGUCAAGGGCAUAUGAGUAGCUGUGCUCCCCUGAUAGAACCUCCAAACAAGCUCUCAAGAUUGGUGUUCAGUAGUAUCAAAUAAUGGUAUACCUUUAUGAGAUAAUGCAAGCAGGAGUAUUGACUAA